Long non-coding RNA from Prosopis cineraria, 385 nucleotides. RefSeq lists it as uncharacterized. Lineage: Eukaryota; Viridiplantae; Streptophyta; Magnoliopsida; Fabales; Fabaceae. The record is from RefSeq and is a predicted model, not a curated record. The transcript is spliced from 3 exons.
UCUGCUUAACAAAUUCUGUGCUCGUGUUCCCACCAGAAUUUCUUGCAUUUCCCUCUUCGUUAUUAGUCUUUCUAUUCUUCCAUAUAUCUCAACAAGAAAAAAAAAAAAAAACCACACAAAGGAGGCUUCUUUGUUCAAGACACUGAAAUCUCUAGAUUGAAAGGUCUUGAGCUUAAUUCUGAGUUGAUUGGGUGAUCUUGUUCUGGCUUGUUCCUUUACUUUUCUCUAUUUCAUCACACAGUACUAAAAUAUCUCAAAAGAGGACUUGUUUCCGGUUUGCUAUAAUCGUGUGUUCUCCAUUAAUUCCUCAUAAUUAUUCCUUCUACUCUUAUUUUCAUUCACAGCUUCCCGCGUCUGUCAACAAAUUAAAAAAAAAAAGGUAAGA